GGGGGCCGCGAAUUACCGGUCAGUUCGCUUGGCGGUUGGUCAAGAGGUGUAGGUUCGAGUCCUACGGCUUCCA
This 73-nucleotide transfer RNA is filed under the name Muribaculaceae bacterium. Its description in RNAcentral is "tRNA-Asn". Lineage: Bacteria; Pseudomonadati; Bacteroidota; Bacteroidia; Bacteroidales; Muribaculaceae. The record is from RNAcentral.